ACUUAAAUUGAAGAGUUUGAUCAUGGCUCAGAUUGAACGCUGGCGGCAGGCCUAACACAUGCAAGUCGAGCGGUAGCACAGAGAGCUUGCUCUCGGGUGACGAGCGGCGGACGGGUGAGUAAUGUCUGGGAAACUGCCUGAUGGAGGGGGAUAACUACUGGAAACGGUAGCUAAUACCGCAUAAYGUCGCAAGACCAAAGUGGGGGACCUUCGGGCCUCAUGCCAUCAGAUGUGCCCAGAUGGGAUUAGCUAGUAGGUGGGGUAACGGCUCACCUAGGCGACGAUCCCUAGCUGGUCUGAGAGGAUGACCAGCCACACUGGAACUGAGACACGGUCCAGACUCCUACGGGAGGCAGCAGUGGGGAAUAUUGCACAAUGGGCGCAAGCCUGAUGCAGCCAUGCCGCGUGUGUGAAGAAGGCCUUCGGGUUGUAAAGCACUUUCAGCGGGGAGGAAGGCGKURAGGUUAAUAACCUYRKCGAUUGACGUUACCCGCAGAAGAAGCACCGGCUAACUCCGUGCCAGCAGCCGCGGUAAUACGGAGGGUGCAAGCGUUAAUCGGAAUUACUGGGCGUAAAGCGCACGCAGGCGGUCUGUCAAGUCGGAUGUGAAAUCCCCGGGCUCAACCUGGGAACUGCAUUCGAAACUGGCAGGCUAGAGUCUUGUAGAGGGGGGUAGAAUUCCAGGUGUAGCGGUGAAAUGCGUAGAGAUCUGGAGGAAUACCGGUGGCGAAGGCGGCCCCCUGGACAAAGACUGACGCUCAGGUGCGAAAGCGUGGGGAGCAAACAGGAUUAGAUACCCUGGUAGUCCACGCCGUAAACGAUGUCGAUUUGGAGGUUGUGCCCUUGAGGCGUGGCUUCCGGAGCUAACGCGUUAAAUCGACCGCCUGGGGAGUACGGCCGCAAGGUUAAAACUCAAAUGAAUUGACGGGGGCCCGCACAAGCGGUGGAGCAUGUGGUUUAAUUCGAUGCAACGCGAAGAACCUUACCUGGUCUUGACAUCCACAGAACUUWSCAGAGAUGSWUUGGUGCCUUCGGGAACUGUGAGACAGGUGCUGCAUGGCUGUCGUCAGCUCGUGUUGUGAAAUGUUGGGUUAAGUCCCGCAACGAGCGCAACCCUUAUCCUUUGUUGCCAGCGGUYCGGCCGGGAACUCAAAGGAGACUGCCAGUGAUAAACUGGAGGAAGGUGGGGAUGACGUCAAGUCAUCAUGGCCCUUUGUCGUAGUCCGGAUUGGAGUCUGCAACUCGACUCCAUGAAGUCGGAAUCGCUAGUAAUCGUAGAUCAGAAUGCUACGGUGAAUACGUUCCCGGGCCUUGUACACACCGCCCGUCACACCAUGGGAGUGGGUUGCAAAAGAAGUAGGUAGCUUAACCUUCGGGAGGGCGCUUACCACUUUGUGAUUCAUGACUGGGGUGAAGUCGUAACAAGGUAACCGUAGGGGAACCUGCGGUUGGAUCACCUCCUUACCUUAAAGAA
Molecule: ribosomal RNA, 1474 nt
Filed under: Klebsiella pneumoniae
Lineage: Bacteria; Pseudomonadati; Pseudomonadota; Gammaproteobacteria; Enterobacterales; Enterobacteriaceae
Description: bacterial SSU rRNA
Rfam family: Bacterial small subunit ribosomal RNA
Source: RNAcentral